AACGCACCUUGCGCUCCUUGGUAUUCCGAGGAGCAUGCCUGUUUGAGUGUCAUAUAAUUCUCAACCUUAUUAGCUUUUGCUGAUUAAUGGCUUGGAUGUGGGGGUUCUCUUUUGCCGGCUUCUUCAGAGGUCAGCUCCCCUUAAAUGCAUUAGCUGGUGCCCCGCGUGGACUGUCUAUUUGGUGUGAUAAUUAUCUACGCCGUGGAUAUCUGCAAUGGGUUGUGCACUGCUUAUAACCGUCUGUUCAUUUGGACAAUACAUGACAAUUUGACCUCAAAUCAGGUAGGACUACCCGCUGAACUUAA
RNAcentral lists this unclassified non-coding RNA (305 nucleotides) under uncultured Hymenogaster. Its description in RNAcentral is "sequence contains ITS2". The stretch from base 1 to 52 matches the Rfam family "5.8S ribosomal RNA", at positions 103 to 154 of the family's 154-position model. The record is from RNAcentral. Lineage: Eukaryota; Fungi; Basidiomycota; Agaricomycetes; Agaricales; Hymenogastraceae.